UACGUAGGGACCAAGCGUUGUUCGGAUUUACUGGGCGUAAAGGGCGCGUAGGCGGCAAUUCAAGUCAUCUGUGAAAUCUCCGGGCUUAACUCGGAACGGUCAGAUGAUACUGCUUUGCUAGAGUGCGGAAGGGGCAAUCGGAAUUCUUGGUGUAGCGGUGAAAUGCGUAGAUAUCAAGAGGAACACCUGAGGUGAAGACGGGUUGCUGAGCCGACACUGACGCUGAUGCGCGAAAGCCAGGGGAGCAAACGGG
Molecule: ribosomal RNA, 253 nt
Filed under: uncultured bacterium
Lineage: Bacteria
Description: partial 16S ribosomal RNA
Rfam family: Bacterial small subunit ribosomal RNA
Source: RNAcentral